Unclassified non-coding RNA from Chlorocebus sabaeus (green monkey), 289 nucleotides. It matches the Rfam family "Metazoan signal recognition particle RNA". From Rfam's summary of the family: The signal recognition particle (SRP) is a universally conserved ribonucleoprotein. Lineage: Eukaryota; Metazoa; Chordata; Mammalia; Primates; Cercopithecidae. The record is from Ensembl.
GCUGGGUAUGGUGGCACACACCUGUAGUUCCAGCUAUUCAGGGGGCUGAGAGAGAGGACCAUCUGAACCCAGGCAUUCCGGGCUGUAGUACACUGUGCUGAUGGGAUGUCCAUACUAAGUUCAGCAUCAAUAUGGUGACCUCCCAGGACUACCAGUUUGCCUAAGGAGGAGUGAACUGGCCCAGGUCAGAAAUAGUGGGUCAAAACUCCCAUGCUGAUCAGCAGUGUGAUCUUGUCAGUGAAUAGCCACUGCACUUUGGCCUGGGUAACACAGCAAGAUCUCAUGCUCC